Long non-coding RNA from Thunnus maccoyii (southern bluefin tuna), 1278 nucleotides. RefSeq lists it as uncharacterized. NCBI's taxonomy places the organism in Eukaryota, Metazoa, Chordata, Actinopteri, Scombriformes, Scombridae. The record is from RefSeq and is a predicted model, not a curated record. The transcript has 3 exons.
UAUAUGAAGCAUAUAUGAAGACCAAUGGGGCAACAUCCUUGACCCAGUUCAUAAUUCUUCUGUUUGUCAAUGUAAAAUCAUACACAGAAUUCAUUAUACUAACCACUGAUUGUCUAAAAUAUACCCCAAUAUUAGUGAUGCCUGUAACAGAUGUGGUCAGUCCCCUGCAAACCUUGUACAUGUUUUGGUUAUGGCCAUAUUUAACAUAUAAAAUUCAUAUGUCAAACCAGCUGUGUUUUUGUCUGCAGUCAAAAAGAUGUUCAGAUCCUCUUUAGACUCACACCACCCUGCAGCAGCUCUAGUGCUGAGAGCAGCAACAAGGAAAGGAAGACAGAUAUGAUUCAGAUGGGAAACAGCUCUUUGUCUGCAGGGUCAGGAGAAAGUGUUAGGCACAGCCUCUUUUGUGCUUGGUGCAAAUGUAAUCUAAGGACACUGCAGUUUAAGGGCCAAAGAGAUGUUUCAAGGUUGUUAUAGGACGCCAGAGGCCGGAGCGACAGCAUACUGUUUGGGACGACUUCCAACCUCAGCAGACUCCCUCCUACACACUUCACUCUGCCCAGACUGGUUCAAGAUAUGAGGAGACACACUCCACCUCUCUCUUGAUGGGUUUCAUCGCAGUCAGUCAGUUUGCAUUCCUUCGUUCUGUUUUUGCUAACUGUGUUUCUCUCCCCCCCUCUUUUUUUUUUCUUUUCCUCUUACAGUUCAUGCAGCCAAACUGAAAUGACAUCAUGCCGAGGGGAAGUCGAGGCUGAAUACGUACCCACAAGGCCCUGCAGGAGAAACAGGGACCAACGGCAGGAGGGGUAUCUGCUCAACAGGAGGAUGAGAUGUUUAUCAGGAGGGAGGAAAAUCUAACAUCACACAAGGUAAUUCUGUCUGCAGAUGAAGCUCUUUGCAACAACACGUGCACAUGUGGAAAUGUGGAAAAUAUCCGUUCUGUUUUGACCUGAUGACGAGGAGAGGACAGACAGAUGGGAUGGGAGGGCUUUGAUGAAAGGGGAUCGGGUGAAGAAGCAAUAAAUAAAUCCGGAUGGAAAAAAGGGGGGACAUAAAACACUGGCACAGCCUGGAGAGGAGAAAAGGGACAUUCUUUGUGUUCACAGCCCCAGUCUUUAAAGAACUGCUCUCUAUAAAGGGCUCCGGUUUCUGUGGUUCCUAAGUGACAGAAGGGUUUGGGCCAGACCAGGUCAAGAGCUACAGGAUUGUUAUGAAAAGUCUACUGUUUUAAUGCUCAUAUGGCUUGUUUGAAUCUGAAGCCAAUUAUCAGAUUAAAGAGUU